ACAAGGUCUCCUGGAGAGGGCAUCAGCAUUGCCGUGGGAUUUCCCAGCUCUAUGUUCUACUUUGAAUUCAUACUGGGACAGAAACUCAAACCAACGGGCAAUUUGGCCUUCAGGAUUUUUAAAGUUUAGGAGCCAGGACAAAUUAGAGAGGACUUUUUCCAUCAGUCUUUCAAAAGUGGCACCUGCGUUACACAGACCAAAGGGCAUACUGAGGAAUUGCCAAUGACCCCCACCAGAUUGGGUGAUAUCUGAUGCCUUGGAUGAAGAAGGAGGACUUGGGAUGGCUGUAGCCACCUUGUCACUCUCCAAGCCGUUAGGUGAAGAUGGACGGGACUUAAAAGUUACUUCAAAACUUUCUUCAGCUU
This is a long non-coding RNA of Saccostrea cuccullata (small rock oyster), 365 nucleotides long. RefSeq lists it as uncharacterized. The record is from RefSeq and is a predicted model, not a curated record. The transcript is spliced from 3 exons. NCBI's taxonomy places the organism in Eukaryota, Metazoa, Mollusca, Bivalvia, Ostreida, Ostreidae.